This 484-nucleotide ribosomal RNA is filed under the name Veillonella atypica. Its description in RNAcentral is "bacterial SSU rRNA". It matches the Rfam family "Bacterial small subunit ribosomal RNA", at positions 28 to 482 of the family's 1533-position model. Lineage: Bacteria; Bacillati; Bacillota; Negativicutes; Veillonellales; Veillonellaceae. The record is from RNAcentral.
GACGAACGCUGGCGGCGUGCUUAACACAUGCAAGUCGAACGAAGAGCGAUGGAAGCUUGCUUCUAUUAAUCUUAGUGGCGAACGGGUGAGUAACGCGUAAUCAACCUGCCCUUCAGAGGGGGACAACAGUUGGAAACGACUGCUAAUACCGCAUACGAUCCAAUCUCGGCAUCGAGACUGGAUGAAAGGUGGCCUCUAUUUAUAAGCUAUCACUGAAGGAGGGGAUUGCGUCUGAUUAGCUAGUUGGAGGGGUAACGGCCCACCAAGGCGAUGAUCAGUAGCCGGUCUGAGAGGAUGAACGGCCACAUUGGGACUGAGACACGGCCCAGACUCCUACGGGAGGCAGCAGUGGGGAAUCUUCCGCAAUGGACGAAAGUCUGACGGAGCAACGCCGCGUGAGUGAUGACGGCCUUCGGGUUGUAAAGCUCUGUUAAUCGGGACGAAUGGUUCUUGUGCGAAUAGUGCGAGGAUUGACGGUACCGGA